AACGACUGAAAAAACAUGGCGGCGUCGGAGAGGCGGUGCCACUACGAGGUUUUAGGUCUCCCCCGCGACUGCUCCGCCGACGAGAUUCGGUCGGCUUACAGGAAGCUCGCUCUCCAGCGCCACCCGGACAAGCUAGUCCAGUCCGGCUUGUCCCAGUCCGAAGCCACGGCCCAGUUCCAGGAGCUGGCACAUGCGUACGAGGUCCUCUCCGACCCCAAAGAGCGAGCUUGGUACGACUCUCACCGCUCCCAAAUCCUCUUCUCCGACCGUGGAUCGGCCGCCUCGGGCUCUGGCUCCGGCAUCCCUAAUCUUUUCCCCUUCUUCUCCACCACCGUCUUCUCCGGCUACUCCGACUCCGGCCGCGGAUUUUAUAAGGUAUAUUCCGAUGUCUUCGACAAAAUCUACGCCAAUGAGCUCAAUUUUGCUAGGAAAUUAGGGUUAGGGUUGGACACCGUGCGUGAAGCUCCAGCGAUGGGGAAUUUAGAGAGUCCGUACGUGCAGGUCACCGCGUUUUACAACUACUGGGCAGGAUUUUGUACGGUGAUGGAUUUUUGCUGGGAGGACAUGUAUGAUGUGUUGGCCGGUCCGAACCGGAAGUCGAGAAGGCUGAUGGAGGAGGAAAACAAGAAGGUGAGGAAGAAGGCGAAGAGAGAGUUCAACGAAACGGUGCGGGGAUUGGCAGAUUUUGUGAAGAAGAGGGACAAGAGGGUGAUGGAUAUGAUGCUGAAGAAGGAGGAGGAGAGGGUGAGGAAAAGCGAGGAGGAGAGAGAGAGGAAGAAGAAGUUGGAGAAGGAGAAAUUGGAGAGGGCUAUGGCGUAUGAGGAGCCGGAGUGGGCAAAAGUGGAGGAGGAGGAGGAAGGAGGCAAUGAGGUUGAGGAAUUGGAGGAGGACGAGGAGGAGGAGAGGAGGAGGAAGGAAUUGUAUUGUGUGGUGUGUGGGAAGAAGUUUAAGAGUGAGAAGCAGUGGAAGAAUCACGAGCAGUCGAAGAAGCAUCGUGAUAAAAUUGCAGAGUUUCGAGAGUCAGUUGCGGAUGAAGAGCUUGAAGUUGAUGAUGAAGACGUUUUGGAGGGAGAGGGUGAAGAAAGGGGUGACCUUGACGAUGUUGAUGAAUUAGGUCAGGAGAUUAGAGUGGGGUUGAAGAUUGGGGAGGAGGAAGAUGGGGUAGGAGGGAGUGAUCUGGAGGAUGAGUUGCGCGAAUUUGGUGGUGAAAAUGGGAGCGAAAAGGUUGACGAGGCAGUUGGGUUGGAUGGUGAGGAAGAUGAAGAUGAAGAUGAAGAUGAAAUGGGUGUUCUCAAAGCAAUGGUGACCGGGCGAAAGAGUAAGAAAAAGGUAUCCUUUAGGGUUGAACCUGAGGAUAUCUUGGUUAAUGAUAUUCGUGUGGAGAAUGAUGACGAUGACGCUGAGUUUAUGGAAUAUAAUAACCGGAAGAGCGCAAGAAGGAAAGGAGGAGCCAGGAAAGAGAGGAGUAAGAAGAAUGGUGGUGAAGCUAAUAAUGUUGAUAAAAGUGAAAACAACGGUGGUCAGAAUGAGGAGAGUAAUGAACAAGAUAAUUCUACUAUGAAGGAAUCCACAUCUCAUUCUGUUGUGGAAAAUGAGAGUAUUGAUAAAGGGGAUGAACUGUUGGCACAAAAGAAGAAGAGCUCAAGCAAAGCGGUCAAUAAGAAAGAGAAGGUGAAGAAAGAGGCAAACGACAAAUCAAAGAACUCAUCUAAAGGGAAGAAAGCUAAGGGAGCAUCGAAGAAUACUGGCAACGUAUGUGAUACAUGUGGAGAGGAGUUCGAAUCAAGAAACAAGUUACAUAUGCAUUUGGGUGACACUGGACAUGCGAAGCUGAAAUAUCGAUGAGGGAACAGUUGCUGAAUAUUAACCGGAUGUGAUUAAAUUGUCAAGCAUAGAAAGAGUCUUGCGACAUUGGUCGGCAGCGAUUCAUUCAUUUUGAUAAGUUACAGAAAUAAUCAAAAAUCUCUGCAGGAAGCAUUCCAUUCUUUUGGGUAAUCAGAUACAAGUACAACCACCCUCUUCUGUCAUAAAGGGUACAGCGGCUGGCUGGAUGCAGUGCGGAAAGGUGCACAGAGAAUGUUCAGCCCGUACGUUUAUAAAAGUGAAAUUUCUUGGAGAAAACGGAUGACGUCUACAUGGGGUGGCUUAUCGAAAACUUUUUCCCAGUUCAUCAAGUGUGUUGUGAGCUUGAUAUCGUGUAAUUUGGUAGUGUUCUAGAUAUUUUGAUUUAAUACGCAUACGUAUGCAGAGUGGAGAA
RNA transcript from Pyrus x bretschneideri (Chinese white pear), 2257 nucleotides. It is a transcript of the gene named DNAJ protein JJJ1 homolog, with no coding region annotated. The record is from RefSeq and is a predicted model, not a curated record. The transcript has 4 exons. Lineage: Eukaryota; Viridiplantae; Streptophyta; Magnoliopsida; Rosales; Rosaceae.